This 355-nucleotide long non-coding RNA is filed under the name Vigna radiata. RNAcentral describes it as "long non-coding RNA (VRAD_LNC004250)". The record is from RNAcentral. Lineage: Eukaryota; Viridiplantae; Streptophyta; Magnoliopsida; Fabales; Fabaceae.
ACUCUACAACCACGGAUCUUAGCUAACUGUCCAGCACUCAUACCAACCGCACCGGAGGCAGCAGAUAUGAACACAUUGGAGCCGGGUUUCGGGUCUCCCAGAACCACUAUUCCCACCCAUGCCGCAAACCCUGGUACUCCUGCACGCAUAAUCACAUUCAAUAAUUUGUAAUAAUUCCUAGGUGCUUCCUCAAUUGCGUUUCUGAUUUUCAUUAAGCAUAAAUACCUAAGGCACUUAGAUAAUCCGGCAACGAAAUUCCACUAGCAGAGUCAAUUUUCCGAAGUAUACUCGAGGAAGGAACGAUACAGUACUCAGCCACCGGAGCAGAAGGGGCUAAGACUAGAUCGCCCUCCCU